ACAUAUCUGUUCUCAGUAAAUGGUUGGUCGAAAUUUAAUUAUGACGUUAUAUUUUUCUUGAUUUCUUCUGAAUUUGCCAUUGUGACGUCCUGAACUGCGACCAUGCCUGAUGACGCCACAUAUAUAGAACACAACUUUCUGUGAAUCUUUAAAAAGGAAGGAUUGAAAUCAUAAGAGAAACAGAUUCCACUAUAUCUCGUGUAUUUCGAUAUUUCUCAACUGUCAACAGUUAAAUUGUAAUUAUCUAAAAAGCUCGGCAAGCCUCGGGCUUUAAAUAUCAAAAUUUAAGUGUCCCGAGUGGAGAAAUAUCGUAACACAUCUAUUGCAGUGAUGGAAUCUAUAUUUAUGAUGUAAUUACGUGAUAUUAGACUCACUUAUUUGCAUGCGUUCAAAAUAAUGUUUGUGUUCAAUAUAAGGUUCAUUGUACAUGCCUUAGCGAUGCAUGCGUUUGAUUUCAAUGAACACUAUCUAUCAAUGAUCAGAACUAAGAUGAAAAAUUGUGUCUUUCAUUUUUUUAGUUGUAAUCUCUGUUCUUCCUUUUUAUUUUUCACUCUAUUCGGUCCUGCAUUUUUUUAAUCAGUUUAUCCUGACUUUAGUUUACCUAAUUAAUUUGUUAUCCUGCCUUUUUUUUAUGUCAAGCUACUCUUUUUUUUUCAUCCGAGUAGCCUGGAUUUGCAGCUUAUGCCUCAUUAAGGUGGUACCCAACACUUUCACUAAAAUUAAUUUGGCUCGUUUAAUUUUCAUAAAAUUUUGACAAAGUAUUUACUUUGGACCAUUUUACAAAAAUAUAAAAAAUUUAAAAAAUUUGAACCAAGCGUUUUAUCAGAAAAAUUACACUGGUUAUAUAGCAGUUUGACAAACACUAAUUUUGAUCAUUGAGAAGCUUAAUAUUCCUUUAACAGCACAAUGUCAUUAAAACGUUUAGGUGAUUUUACAGAGUUAUCUCCCUGUAGUGUUAGGUACCACCUUAAGAACGGCGGAUCAUUCUAGCAAUAGAAUUCAUAGCACGGUUGGUUGAGGUAAAGAUCAUAAGUUUUACAUGUAAAGGAAGCAUAUUUUUGUGUACUUUAUGUCACUCUUUUCUGUUUUGUAUAUACAUUAAAGAUUAUUUAUUAUGUAAAAUUACAAAGCGAUGUCAUUUAAAGUGACAAUGUCAUUGCGACUGAAAUUCUUAUCAUUCCGUUCGACAAAAAAUGUAACAGAAAUGUUCAGAACGCGUGAAAGUUGUCAUAAAUCUGCAAAUAUUUACACAAAUCGUGUUUUGAUCUAUAAAAAAAGUCUAACGGUUUUACGUUCUUGUCCACUUAUACAUGUUAUAUAGAUAUGUAUUCAUUAUUUUCACAUACAAACAAAAACAAAAAAACGAAGACCAUGGUCUAGAUAGUAUGCAUAUGUUCGUUAAGCUCAUAUUUCCGCAUUCUUGUCAUACUUAGAGAUCAAAUAAACCCCGCCAAAUAUAGUUAACAAUUGAAUUAAAAUUACAGCGAUACAAUUUCCUUUUUUUUACUUAUUAUUUUUUAAAACUAGUAUCACAUUAUUGUAUAUUAUUAUGUCAAGGGAGCUCUUUUUUAAAGAUAAUGGGGAAAUAAAGAUUAAUUUCUUUUGCUUUUACAUUUAUUGCUUCAUAAGAAAAAUUGUCCUGACCAUGCAU
Molecule: long non-coding RNA, 1651 nt
Filed under: Mytilus galloprovincialis (Mediterranean mussel)
Lineage: Eukaryota; Metazoa; Mollusca; Bivalvia; Mytilida; Mytilidae
Source: RNAcentral